UACGUAGGUGGAUAAUUAAGUCAGAGGUGAAAUCCUGCAGCUCAACUGUAGAAUUGCCUUUGAUACUGGUUAUCUUGAGUCAUUAUGAAGUGGUUAGAAUGUGUAGUGUAGCGGUGAAAUGCAUAGAUAUUACACAGAAUACCGAUUGCGAAGGCAGAUCACUAAUAAUGUACUGACACUGAGGGACGAAAGCGUGGGGAGCGAACAGGAUUAGAUACCCUGGUAGUCC
Molecule: ribosomal RNA, 229 nt
Filed under: uncultured bacterium
Lineage: Bacteria
Description: partial 16S ribosomal RNA
Rfam family: Bacterial small subunit ribosomal RNA
Source: RNAcentral